RNAcentral lists this microRNA precursor (122 nucleotides) under Marmota monax (woodchuck). Lineage: Eukaryota; Metazoa; Chordata; Mammalia; Rodentia; Sciuridae. The record is from RNAcentral.
UAGCUUUUAAAAUUCUCUCCUUAUUCUGUAUGUUGGGCAUCUUCAUUAUAAGAGAUCCACACCUAGACACAUUAUAAUGAAGAUGCCCAACAUACAGAAUAAGGAGAGAAUUUUAAAAGCUA